CUUUCUUUGCUGGCGACCGGCGCACGGGUGAGCAACACGUAUCCAACCUACCCUUUACUCGGGGAUAGCCUUUCGAAAGAAAGAUUAAUACCCGAUAGCAUAAUGAUUCCGCAUGGUUUCAUUAUUAAAGGAUUCCGGUAAAGGAUGGGGAUGCGUUCCAUUAGGUUGUUGGUGAGGUAACGGCUCACCAAGCCUUCGAUGGAUAGGGGUUCUGAGAGGAAGGUCCCCCACAUUGGAACUGAGACACGGUCCAAACUCCUACGGGAGGCAGCAUG
Molecule: ribosomal RNA, 275 nt
Filed under: uncultured bacterium
Lineage: Bacteria
Description: partial 16S ribosomal RNA
Rfam family: Bacterial small subunit ribosomal RNA
Source: RNAcentral